Molecule: ribosomal RNA, 348 nt
Filed under: Triticum aestivum (bread wheat)
Lineage: Eukaryota; Viridiplantae; Streptophyta; Magnoliopsida; Poales; Poaceae
Description: partial small subunit ribosomal RNA
Source: RNAcentral
AUGUGGAGAACAGUGGGGUGUGUUUUGGGCACUGAUUGUUGCCCUGACAACCUGUGGCAAUACUUUGCUUGGUGUCAUGGUUACCUCCCUAAUGGUGAGAGGUUUUAUACGUUUGGCCUAGCUGCGUUAUGUUGGGCGAUGUGGAAUUGUCGUAACAAAAGAAUCUUCGAAUUCAAAGAAUUGAAGUCUCCUUUUGAUGUGAUAUAUUCUGCUUGUGGAUACAUAUCUUAUUGGGCAGGGUUGCUGUCUGGUGAAGAUCGGGAGGCGAUGGAGUGUGGAUCGAAGAUGCUGAGGAUCAGUGCCGCGAAUAUGAUGAGGAUUUGUGCAGCUCCGAGAGAUGCAACAUGA